CGAACGCUGGCGGCGUGCCUAAUACAUGCAAGUAGAACGCUGAAGGAGGAGCUUGCUUCUCCGGAUGAGUUGCGAACGGGUGAGUAACGCGUAGGUAACCUGCCUGGUAGCGGGGGAUAACUAUUGGAAACGAUAGCUAAUACCGCAUAAGAGUAGAUGUUGCAUGACAUUUGCUUAAAAGGUGCAAUUGCAUCACUACCAGAUGGACCUGCGUUGUAUUAGCUAGUUGGUGGGGUAACGGCUCACCAAGGCGACGAUACAUAGCCGACCUGAGAGGGUGAUCGGCCACACUGGGACUGAGACACGGCCCAGACUCCUACGGGAGGCAGCAGUAGGGAAUCUUCGGCAAUGGACGGAAGUCUGACCGAGCAACGCCGCGUGAGUGAAGAAGGUUUUCGGAUCGUAAAGCUCUGUUGUAAGAGAAGAACGAGUGUGAGAGUGGAAAGUUCAC
Molecule: ribosomal RNA, 451 nt
Filed under: Streptococcus mitis
Lineage: Bacteria; Bacillati; Bacillota; Bacilli; Lactobacillales; Streptococcaceae
Description: bacterial SSU rRNA
Rfam family: Bacterial small subunit ribosomal RNA
Source: RNAcentral